Molecule: non-coding RNA, 696 nt
Organism: Paramuricea clavata
Lineage: Eukaryota; Metazoa; Cnidaria; Anthozoa; Malacalcyonacea; Plexauridae
Source: the annotation of a GenBank genome assembly
UUGGAAACCAAAAUUUCAUGGGAUAUAAGUAACAAUUGCAAGUGGAAUUAAUAGUUGAAAUCUACUUUCCCUCAUGCAUAGAACUUGAUGUGGUAUGAGGGUUGCUAAGCCCGGGCUGGUCUAACCGGAGACUGGGCUGUAUUAUACGGAUAAUAACCUGACACAAAUCUUAAUCCAAUCACUUUCCACCCACAACAAAGUUUAUAUUUAGUAUCCAAUCAAAAUGUCACAGGAGAAAUUAAAAUUUCGCACAACGACAACAACAAUCUGAUUAUAGUUGUGAUCACUAUAAAAUAUAUCAACAACAACAGUAUCUAAUUAGCACCAACCAAUCAAAUGACAGAUUGAAAAAAUCUUUUGUCUCGUAGACCAACCAGAUUUACAACUGAAAUACGGUUGUAAGGCAUGGACUUUUGUUUAGGUUUGUUUCAGGCCUAUUUAUUUAUUUAUAGGCCUGAUGGCAGGUUAGGGCCUGACCAACAACUGAGGUAGGAUGCAUCAUCACUAUGGACCCCAGACAGGCAUGUCAAUUUUUGGAAAUCAAAGUUGUCUAUAAAGUCAUAAAGACCCAAUACUUUAUUUCACAAAGAACUGCCUCCCCCAAUACCCCCAAGUAAAUCCAUCCCACUGCUACACAAAAGAAUACUUCUUUCCCUCUAAGUUUACAAUGAAAGUAUAUUUUUUACAGAUCUCUGC